This 455-nucleotide ribosomal RNA is filed under the name uncultured Methanomicrobiales archaeon. RNAcentral's name for it is "bacterial SSU rRNA". It matches the Rfam family "Archaeal small subunit ribosomal RNA", at positions 882 to 1338 of the family's 1478-position model. Lineage: Archaea; Methanobacteriati; Methanobacteriota; Methanomicrobia; Methanomicrobiales. The record is from RNAcentral.
CAACGGUGGAGCCUGCGGUUUAAUUGACUCAACGCCGGGCAGCUCACCGGAUAAGACAGCUGGAUGAUAGCCGGGCUGAAGACUCUACUUGACUAGCUGAGAGGAGGUGCAUGGCCGUCGUCAGUUCGUACUGUGAAGCAUCCUGUUAAGUCAGGCAACGAGCGAGACCCACGCCAACAGUUGCCAGCUCGUCCUCCGGGAUGGUGGGGACACUGUUGGGACCGCCUCUGCUAAAGAGGAGGAAGGAAUGGGCAACGGUAGGUCAGCAUGCCCCGAAUUAUCUGGGCUACACGCGGGCUACAAUGGGUGGGACAAUGGGUAUCGACACCGAAAGGUGAAGGCAAUCUCCUAAACCCAUCCGUAGUUCGGAUUGUGGGCUGCAACUCGCCCACAUGAAGCUGGAAUCUGUAGUAAUCGUGUCUCAAAAUGGCACGGUGAAUAUGUCCCUGCUCCUU